This 400-nucleotide ribosomal RNA is filed under the name uncultured Ruminococcus sp. RNAcentral's name for it is "bacterial SSU rRNA". It matches the Rfam family "Bacterial small subunit ribosomal RNA", at positions 354 to 769 of the family's 1533-position model. The record is from RNAcentral. Lineage: Bacteria; Bacillati; Bacillota; Clostridia; Eubacteriales; Oscillospiraceae.
UGGGGGGAUAUUGCGCAAUGGGGGGCAACCCUGACGCAGCAACGCCGCGUGAAGGAAGACGGUUUUCGGAUUGUAAACUUCUUUUAUUAAGGACGAACAAUGACGGUACUUAAUGAAUAAGCUCCGGCUAACUACGUGCCAGCAGCCGCGGUAAUACGUAGGGAGCAAGCGUUAUCCGGAUUUACUGGGUGUAAAGGGCGUGUAGGCGGAGAAGCAAGUCAGAAGUGAAAUCCAUGGGCUUAACCCAUGAACUGCUUUUGAAACUGUUUCCCUUGAGUAUCGGAGAGGCAGGCGGAAUUCCUAGUGUAGCGGUGAAAUGCGUAGAUAUUAGGAGGAACACCAGUGGCGAAGGCGGCCUGCUGGACGACAACUGACGCUGAGGCGCGAAAGCGUGGGGAGC